GACGAACGCUGGCGGCGUGCUUAACACAUGCAAGUCGAACGGAAAGGCCCUGCUUGCAGGGUACUCGAGUGGCGAACGGGUGAGUAACACGUGGGUGAUCUGCCCUGCACUUCGGGAUAAGCUUGGGAAACUGGGUCUAAUACCGGAUAGGAACCAUCUUUAGUGUGGUGGUUGGAAAGUUUUUUCGGUGUAGGAUGAGCUCGCGGCCUAUCAGCUUGUUGGUGGGGUAAUGGCCUACCAAGGCGGCGACGGGUAGCCGGCCUGAGAGGGUGUACGGCCACAGCGGGGGGGAGGCACGGCGCGGACGUGGACGGGAGGCAGCGGGGGGGGAUGCUACAGGGUGGGCGCGACCCUGAGGCGGGGCGGCGGCGGGGCGUAUGAAGGCAGUAGGGUUGUGAACCCCUUCCGCGGGGGGGGACUUUGUGUGUGGCGGUACUGAGAUAAGCAGCGCGGGACAACUACGUCCCGGCGGCGCCGGGAAAUCGAAGCGCCUGCUUCUGAGC
This 503-nucleotide ribosomal RNA is filed under the name uncultured bacterium. Its description in RNAcentral is "partial 16S ribosomal RNA". It matches the Rfam family "Bacterial small subunit ribosomal RNA", at positions 33 to 541 of the family's 1533-position model. The record is from RNAcentral.